GGCGACGUACCCAAGCGGUAAGGGAACGGCCUGCAAAGCCGCUAUUCGCCGGUUCGACUCCGGCCGUCGCCU
Molecule: transfer RNA, 72 nt
Filed under: Deltaproteobacteria bacterium
Lineage: Bacteria; Pseudomonadati; Myxococcota; Myxococcia
Description: tRNA-Cys
Rfam family: tRNA
About the family: Transfer RNA (tRNA) molecules are approximately 80 nucleotides in length. Their secondary structure includes four short double-helical elements and three loops (D, anti-codon, and T loops). Further hydrogen bonds mediate the characteristic L-shaped molecular structure. tRNAs have two regions of fundamental functional importance: the anti-codon, which is responsible for specific mRNA codon recognition, and the 3' end, to which the tRNAs corresponding amino acid is attached (by aminoacyl-tRNA synthetases). tRNAs cope with the degeneracy of the genetic code in two manners: having more than one tRNA (with a specific anti-codon) for a particular amino acid; and 'wobble' base-pairing, i.e. permitting non-standard base-pairing at the 3rd anti-codon position.
Source: RNAcentral